Non-coding RNA from Sus scrofa (pig), 2809 nucleotides. Lineage: Eukaryota; Metazoa; Chordata; Mammalia; Artiodactyla; Suidae. The record is from the annotation of a RefSeq genome assembly.
CCCUGCUUCCUGUCUGGGGGAGUCACACAGGAACCCAGGGACUAUGUAUAUGAGCUGCCAGGCACUCCAAGACACUGAACGCUCAGCCUGAGGCACAACAAAACACUCUUGUGCAGGGGAAUCCGUGCCACAUGCCGCUCUCCAGCCUGCUCUGGCUCUUCCUGGCCUCCGUCUUCUCUGGAUCCGGUGUGACCCAGAAAGUUACUCAAGACCAGCCAGUUGUAUCUAGGCAAGUUGGAGAGGAAGUCACCUUAAACUGUCGCUAUGAAACAAGUUGGAAUGAAUACAUUCUUUUUUGGUAUAAACAGCCUCCCAGUGGAGAGAUGACUUUCCUUAUUCGUCAGGAAUCCAAAGGCUUGAACACAAAGGAUGGCCGCUACUCCACAAACUUCCAGAAAGCACAAAAUUUCAUCAGCCUCACCAUUUCAGCCUUACAGCUGCAAGAUUCUGCUAAGUACUUCUGUGCUCUCCGGGAGCUCACAGUGCCUGAAGCAAUAGGAGAGGCUGAACAAAAACCCCAGAGCUCAAUACAAGAGAGGCCCCCUGCUGCAGGACCCAAGCUGAAAUGCACACCUGCAGACCCCAGACAAGAAGUGGUUGUCCUGUGGUUGCUUCAUCUGUGGUCUGGACAAGAUUACUUUCUAAAUAAAAGUUCCUUCCAUUUCCUUUGGAAGCAGGUGUUAGAGUAACUUCCCACUAUUACAUUCACAUCUUGAAUUUUUAUUUUUAAAUAAUAUAGAACAUGUAUAAAGUUGUCUAAAUUUGAAAGCUUGCCCCAAAAUAAUUUAAAGUGGAAAUUUCACCUACAGAUGUUGACAUCACUAAUCUGGACUAGUUAUCUAGAAUUGUCAUGAAAAUCAUUUCCUUGGGUCUUUCUUCAGAGACUUUGUGUCCCUUAGGGUACAGUUAGAGAAGCAGAACCACAUGUGAUAUAGAAUAAGAGACACCAUGAGGAACAGAACUCAUGUAAAUGCUAGAGCUUGUGGAGGAGCCAAGCAGAGAUGUUAUCUUUCUAUCUGGUAUGCAUCCUGAAUUUACUGUAAGUCAACUAGGGUAACCUAUGUAAAGGGAAGUUGGAUGUGAACAAAAACAUGGACAAACUGUGACUCAUCGGGACAUACUAGGACCAUGAAGACAAUUGAAACCCACAAAGACACAUUAAAUCUUGUCUGAAUUUCACCUCCUUCAGUCACACAGUAAUGGGUGAUUUUCAGAAGUCAGCGGCAUUUGCCAUCAUGCUACACGCAUACUUGGUCCAAGAUAGAAGAUAAGGGAGAGAUCUGCUGGGAAGUGGAGUAGUUGACUCAUCGAUAAGAUGAACUAGCUGAUCAGCAACAACAUGUAUGAGUCACUAUAGUCCAUGCAGCCCUGCACAGACCAGCAGAACAAACAAAAAUAUGGUGGCUUGUAGUUCCUCUGGUGGCACAGUGGUAAAGAACCCAACUAGUAUCCAUGAGGACCUGGGUUUGAUCCCUGGACUUUCUCAGUAGGUUAAGGAUCCGGUGUUGCCAUGAGCUGUGGUGUAGGUCACAGAUGGGGCUUGAAUCUGGUGUUGCUUGUGGCUGUGACAUAGGCUGGCAUCUGCAACUCUGAUUCGACCCCUAACCUAGGAACUUCCACAUGCCCUGGGUGCACCCUGAGAAAGACAAAAUAUAUAUACAUACACAGAGAGAGAGAUAUAUAUGGUGGCUUCAUUACAUCCACUUUCCGAAUCUUGCACAAAUCUCUUUCAUGGAUAACCGUAACUCAGAAUAAUACAGGGAAGCAAAUUCUGGGAAAUACAUUUCCAAAACAGUUUUGUUGAGACAAUAUAAAGCUACCACAGUAGCUUGUUAACUAGUUUACUUGCCUCCCUAUUAGCUGAGUAUCUAUCUAUACCCCUUUUAACAACACAAUUUAAAUAAAGACAACAGCAAAACUAUGCUUCCUACUAAUAUGAUAUAAUUUUUCUCAUUAAGCCCAAAACAAGAUAACUCUCUCCGGCAAAGAGUAAACCCAGUUGAUUUAACCAUUUUGGGGUGAUGUUGUUUCUGCUAUCUAGUCACAUUCUCCCCAAAAUCCUGUAUCAUAAAUAUUGAGAUGUAUCAAAUUUUAAGAUUAACCUAUAUUAGCGCUUCUUAUGUUACUACAUGCAGGCAAAUGGGAGAGGAGAGAUAAAAAUGGUUUUGCUAUGGAUACAUAAGUAUAUAAAUAUAUCCAUAUCAAAAUGAAAAAAGAAAUAUUCUAACCAUUAUAGAUCUUGCUUUUGUAAGUGACCAAAUGUUUGUAGCUGGUAUUUAUAACUUCCUCUUCCACUAGUCCUUCCAUAACCACUUUGCUCAUAACAAGCACCUCUACUCACGGCUAUACUUGACUUUCUGUAAAACAAGCUGCUUAUACAAGAAUAAUACUGUGAGAAAUGCCAUGAAGUUGAAUAAGGGAUUCUGCAAGUACACUACUGUGGUUUUGGCAGAAAUUUGUAAGGCAUUGAAGGCAAAUCCAAAGUCCUAUUUAGUGGAAAUAAUUUUGCCAAUGCUAUACAAUGAUAUAUUUUAUUCUGGGAAACAUCAUUAAGAAUCUUACUGAGUUCUUUUCAGAAGUCGAAAUCACCAGGGGAAAGCAUUUCUAGAGUGCUUAAAGAAAAACAAAACUUUCAAGCUAGCCUCCUAUAAACAUGAAAGCAUAUUUUUAAAUUGUCCUUGUUAAAAAUUACUGCUAAGAGGAUGGAAAGUCAAUGCCCAGGCAGGUAAACUAUAUUAGCAAUGCAUACUGCUAAAAAAGACUCAAAUGUGGGGGGGGGAGUUCAUAUAAACCAACAAGAAAAAAAAAA